Molecule: ribosomal RNA, 633 nt
Filed under: Triticum aestivum (bread wheat)
Lineage: Eukaryota; Viridiplantae; Streptophyta; Magnoliopsida; Poales; Poaceae
Description: partial small subunit ribosomal RNA
Source: RNAcentral
AUGGAGGAUACCAUCGACAAGUUCCUGAUACGUGUUGAGGGCCCUGAGCUUGACGACAAGCCGCACAAGCUCAAACAGCUUGUGAAGAAGAUUUGUGACUUGUUCAACAAGGGCAAGGCGCGACAUGCCAUCGGAAAAGAGAUCAAAGGCAUCAAGGCCAGCGUCCAGGAGGUGGCUGCCCGGCGUGACCGGUACAAGGUCAAAGAUGUGGUUCCUAAUCCAACUGGCCCAAUCAUGGUUGACCCUCGCCUAUCAGCUCUGUACAAGGACCGGAAAGAGCUCGUUGGCAUUGAUGAUUCAGUGAAUGAGCUAACCGAGAAGCUGAGUGACGAGGAUGCUGAUCUGUCCAAGCAACUCAAGAUACUCUCUAUUUUUGGAUUCGGAGGCCUUGGCAAGACAACACUUGCCAAAGCAUUGUAUGAUAAUCGCCACGCGCAGUUCGAUUGCAGCGCUUUCGUUCCGGUAGGACAAAACCCUAGCGUGAAGAAAAUUCUCAAUGACAUACUCAAUGAAAUUGAUGGGAAAAAGUGCUUGGACUUGGAUGAAAGGCAGUUAAUCAACAAACUCCGAGGGUUACUCGAGAACAGAAGGUACCCACCCUAUUAUGUAAUUCAAAUUCAUCAAGUAGUUUGA